Molecule: ribosomal RNA, 570 nt
Filed under: uncultured bacterium
Lineage: Bacteria
Description: bacterial SSU rRNA
Rfam family: Bacterial small subunit ribosomal RNA
Source: RNAcentral
AAGGCGACGACGGGUAGCUGGUCUGAGAGGACGAUCAGCCACACUGGGACUGAGACACGGCCCAGACUCCUACGGGAGGCAGCAGUGGGGAAUAUUGCGCAAUGGGCGAAAGCCUGACGCAGCAACGCCGCGUGAGGGAUGACGGCCUUCGGGUUGUAAACCUCUUUCGAGCAGGGACGAUAAUGACGGUACCUGCAGAAGAAGCUCCGGCCAACUACGUGCCAGCAGCCGCGGUAAUACGUAGGGAGCGAGCGUUGUCCGGAUUCAUUGGGCGUAAAGAGCUCGUAGGCGGCUUGAUAAGUCGGAUGUGAAACCUCCAGGCUCAACCUGGAGUCGCCAUCCGAUACUGUCAUGGCUAGAGUCCGGUAGGGGCCCACGGAACUCCUGGUGUAGCGGUGAAAUGCGCAGAUAUCAGGAAGAACACCGGUGGCGAAGGCGGUGGGCUGGGCCGGUACUGACGCUGAGGAGCGAAAGCGUGGGGAGCGAACAGGAUUAGAUACCCUGGUAGUCCACGCCGUAAACGUUGGGCACUAGGUGUGGGACCUUAUCAACGGGUUCCGUGCCGUAGCU